ACGCCAUUCUCUUAUUCUCUCUAUUUUCCUUCAAUUCUCUUAUCCGCCUCAUUCUUCUUUUCCUUAAUUCUCCUUCGUUUGUGAAAAUGUGUUCUUCAUAUGGAAACCCCCAAUCAAUUAUCAAUCAGUUGAAAAUUUUCUACAAAAUUAUGAAUACGUUUCCAUUAUUAUCGCUUAUAAACUAUUUAUUUAUAAUCGAAGAAUUCAAACGAUGAUUCGUUUCACCUAUUUCAUCAAUGGCGAAUAUGGGUAGAAGAAAAACAAUCGGUCUCUUCAACAUCACUGUGAUCCAUUCUGAUGCAUUUAGGUAUUUGUUUUCUCUUUCAUCUACACUUUCUUGAGGAUUCACGUAUGGAUCUGAUAAAAAUGGCGUCGCUGUUAUCGGCGGCGGCCCUGGCGGAUACGUGGCAGCGAUUAAGGCCACUCAGUUAUGCCUCAAAACGACGUGCACUGAGAAGCUUCCUUCGAAGGGGAGUCACAAUGCAUCAUUCAGGCCCUGGAUAGAUAGAUUUUGAAUUACGAAUUCUGUUUUUCUUAUGUUGAGUCGUGGUUAGGGUUCGUAAUAUGUGGACGUUUGGGAUGAAUGUCAGUUGGAAGGGCACUCAAAGUUUCACAGGUCAUCCCACAACCGCUAAUAUGUGCUAUUAGCAUAGAGGAAAGAAAACCCCCAACUGAGAGGCAGAAAGAUACGAAGAUGCUAGAGGUGUGUGUAUGCAAGAGAGAGCUUGGUAUCAAUGACGGCAAACCUACUAAUAAAACAACAAAUGUCGUUUAUAAAGAAGUCAGUACGGCGGCCACGUCCGGUUGUGAUCGGUGGCCAAUUCGCUGUGGUGAAAGGUGAAAUAAAUAUGCCCAUAAAGUGCAGCGAAUGAGACCACAACUUCUUAUGUUCCGGGGUGAUUUCGAGAGCAAAUCACAGUGUACAUGGCAGCAGCUAUCUGGGCUAUUAUGGCUAAGUAGGAGGUGCUCAGGGGCUGCAAAUGAUGGUCAAAUAACACCACGUAGUGGGGUGAUGGCUGCCAUAACAGAACGAAAAACGGAACAUCCACGUCAUGUGAUUUGGGUUCGGUUUUGGGGUUGAAUCAUGGUGUAUGUACAAAGCGUGAGUUCGAACGUUAUAGUUGGAAAUCAAUGAAGCGAGGAAAGUUAAAGCUAAGCGAGAAUGCGAGGUCCGACCGUACUUCCCAAAGGCAAGUCUCAUGCAAAGUAAGUCUUCAAUUCCAUUCUAUAUGUUCAUUUUUUUUCAUUUAUGUUGUACUUUUCCAUUUAGAUAGAAAGGCUACUACUACUACUACUGCUACUGCUGCCGCUGCCGCCGCCGCCACCGCCACCGCAACUACUACUACCACUAGCUCGAGUGCUCGACAUUUGGGACCAUGAGUGCAGCUGUAAUGGGCAGUCUUUGUAAUGCAAAGGAUGUUACAUAUGAAGGUUAACUGUUAACGGGUAAUAUAAUAAAGUAUAGCUUUUGAGGAGGCUUUAACGUUGGCUAUUAACAUCGUUCUGGCUUAUUUUAUUGCUAAAAAAUUGUAAUGAAAAUUCUAACCUAGGCUACGAUAGUGUAUCGUUGUUGGUUGGAUGGUCAUGUGGUUUAUUUUACUACCAAAAGCCAACCAGCAGCAACAAGCAUCUGUUCCGUACUUACGUGAGUAAUUUACUAUUUAUAUACAUUUUGUAGAUAUUUUUUUUUACUUUAAAACACUUUACACAACACAAAUGACUGCCGCAAAAAAGAUCAAAUACGACCCAAGUCAUUGGCCUUCAAACCGAUCUCUGUUAUCAACGAGUAUGAUGAAGCGGAACCCAUACAGAUAAAGAGUGUUAAAAGGUGGAUUCCAAACUUCUAGAAUGUAGAUCUCUUUUAUAUGUUCCUAGACAUGCACGUAAGCAUCAAUUAUCUUACAAGCCAUUUUACAUAUUUACUUAAACAAAGUCACUUAUACAUUUUUUUGUUAUCGUGUAGGUUGAUAUACAACUUGCUCUUGCAUCACUUUUUAAUUUGUUGCCAUGUUUUAUUUAGUUUCACAGGUCAUCCCACAACCGCUAAUAUGUGCUAUCAGCAUAUAGGAAAGAAAAACCCCAACUGAGAGGCAGAAAGAUACGGAGAUGCCAGAGGUGUGUGUAUGCAAGAGAGAGCUUGGUAUUAAUGACGGCAAACCUACUAAUAAAACAACAAAUGUCGUUUAUAAAGAAGUCGGUACGGCGGCCACAUUCGCUUGUGAUUGGUGGCCAAUUCGUUGUGGUGAAAGGUGAAAUAAAUCUGCCCAUAAAGUGCAGCGAACGAGACCACAACUUCUUGUGUUCCGGGGUGGUUUCUAGAGCAAAUCACAGGGUACAUGGCAGCAGCUAUCUGGGCUAUUGUGGCUAAGUGGGAGGUGCUCAGGGGCUGCAAAUGAUGGUCAAAUAACACCAGGUAGUGGGUGGCUGCCAAAACAGAACGGAAAACGGGACAUCCACGUCAUGUGAUUUGGGUUCGGUUUUGGGGUUGAAUCAUGGUGUACGUACAAAGUAUGAGUUCGAACGUUAUAGGUGGAAAUCAAUGAAGCUAGGAAAGUUAAAGCUAAGUGAGAAUGCGAGGUCCGACCGUACUUCCCAAAGGCAAGUCUCAUGUGAAGUAAGUCUUCAAUUCCAUCAUUCGCAACAGUGUGUCCAUCAUAUUAAUGGUGAAUGGACCUGAAGACUGACUUAAGUUUAAACUCUGACCAGUUGUAUUAGUUGAAUUAGUGGUGAAAAACCCUGAAAACUGAUUUAAAUUUAGACUCUGAGCAGUCGUCUUUGUGGUGAAAAAACUCGAAAAGAACACUCACUAUCACCAAGAUCACACCGGUUGGAAUGUGGAUCUGAAAGCAAGGUAUGGGUCAAAGGUUAGCCUUUUAUGAUUUUUGGUGCAAUUUAUAAUGUUUUACGCUCAACAUAAGAAAGAGAUGAAGUAUAUACUUUUUUAGAUUGUUCAUUUCUCCACUAAUGAUUGCAUUUUUGAAUCUUUAGAUGUCAUGUAGCAGCCUACAUUCUAUCAGAGAGUACACACGUUUUAAAUGUCUUUGUCAGUAAAUGCAUACUUUGUACUACCAAAUUGUUCUCUCAUAGAAUAGUUCUAUCUAUAAGAUUUGUAAGGCAUAGUUGCAGUUAUUGAAACAUGAGAACCGGGGGUGUUACAACGGCUACUGUAAAUUCAACCUUAUUUGAGUGUAUAAGCUCUGUCUAUUAUAAUAAACAAUUUAAAUGCUAAGAUUAACAUCCUAUAUGUAAAUUGUGUUUGGUAGUUAAGCAUUUUUUUAAUACUUUUUGGUGAUCUUACUGGAGAAAUGGAUGAGGGAUUCAAUGGGAUUGGCACCAGAAGAAUCUACGGGUUUUGUAAACGGUGGUUUAUUUCUAGAAUCAUUAGGCAAUGUUCCUUUAGCUUGCUUUCGCUACUGAACACAACCAAGUCUUUUUUUGUUCGUUAGGGUGGCUUGGCGGAGUUGGGUUCUUUUGUGUGACAUUGUCGGUAAAAGAUAAAUUCCCAGCCAAGGGUUUGAUGGGAAAGACGACCUUUUGGAACAUCAAAGGGGCAAUUUGACCAAGCAUCUUUGAGCUGGAGUUGUAGCUGCUAUGGUCUCAAGGUCACCUUUUUAUUAGAACAAAGGAUCUUUCGAAAGAAACAUUUUUAUGCGAUUAUUUAUAUUACCAUCUUAUUUCCAGUCUGUAUUCACAAUUUCCGUUGCACCACUUGAAAGGCUGAAGCUGGAAUAUAUGGUUCCAAGAGAACUAAAACAUCUUAUUGAGCUAAUCCAGUCAGUCAUGAUUAAAGGGUUUUAUCGGAUUAAAGUGUACUUAAAAUUCAUUUUGUUGUAUUAUGUAUGAUUUGUUCAUAUAUGCAGUUGGGCGUUGACACUCUCAGUGAAAGCACUUGACAUAUACCUGAAAAUCGAUACCGAGCUGGCACUUGAAGUUGGAAGGCACACAAAACGAGCAAUGCCUCUGUUAAUACGAUAAUUGGGGAGGAUUUAAGUGACAUGGCAGUGGAAUAUUGAGUUUGUCCAUCCAAGAAGGAAGGUGGCAUGCUUGGUUGGGUGAGAAAGGGCCAAAUGGUGCCAGAGGUUGAGGAAGCUGCAUUUAACGCCCCAUUAAACAAGAACGCAUUGAGUGAAUGUCUAGAGUUCGUUUGACUUGAGCAGGGUUGGUUGGUAAGCUGGUGCAAGGGUCCAACCUUCUUUAGUCUUUAAGUGACCCGCCAUAGCUAUACAUGGUAAUCAUAUAUUCAUAAUAUCUGUGUCUCUUCAUUUAAAUAUAUUUAUGUAAUUUGUAAUCUUUAAUAUUCAUGUUGAAUUUAUUUACUUUUUAGAGGAAAAAGUCAAUUAUAAUUGAACCUGAUCAUAGGAUAUACGAUAACAAUUACCCGUUAGGCACGGUAACCAUAAGUACAGGUGUAGGUUAGGCAUGGAAAGUGAGGAUUAGGCAAAUAGCUGAAAAGUAUUUUCGAACGGAUGGGUGAAUCAUGGCAUAAGAUCUAAAACUGUUAGCGGUUUUAUUUCUUUAUUUUAAUUGAAUUUUUUGCUAGAUCUGAUCUUUUAUCAUUUUUUAAGAUAUGACGUUUUGAUGUUUUCGAAUUGUAGAUAAAAGCUUCCGUAUAGUUUAUGUUUUGCUCAUGGCCCAAAGCUUUUGCUCUUUUGAUUUUUGUCCUUAAAUCAUAAUUUAUGCGUUUGAAGAGGGGUAAGAUUUUCCUUCUGUAUUUGGGCGCAGCUUCAAGUGAUAAAUUGCAUGUGUUUCAUUAUUAAUUGUUGGGUUUGUUGUUGGCAAUCAUGCCAGGCACAACACCAGAAGGUACCAUUUUAAUACUCUUCACUAGACUUGAAGAUGAAGUUGUAAGUUUGUCACUAUGAGUGUGGUUGUGUAUCUAUUAUAGCUACCUUGGAUGGCCGUAGUUACUUUUACUUAAGAAGCAAUGAGCAAGUGGUUUUAAAACAUGUCUUCCACAUGCAUGCUGAUGACAUACCUUUGUUGGUGCUAUAUGUUUUAUUUAUGGACAUGACUUUUUUUGCAUUGUAGUGUCUCGAGAUAAAAAUAAAAUUCCUGUCCAUCAUAAGGACUUUGCUAUGUAAGAAAAAAAGCUUACAAUUGUUUAUUUAUAUAAAUUUGUGCUAUGAUGUAUUCUAUUAGUUUGUUGGUUGUUAACUUUGACAGCCUAUAGACCGAUUUGUGGCGAACGGGUAUGGUCGUGUAACGGGUAAAAAAACAAACCCGACAAGCCGAGACAUAAUGUCCAAGUUACAUUGCGCAGUAUGUGAAAAGAACGACCAAAGUGCAUAAUCUGGACCAAAAAUCAAGCCAAUUCUAUUACGUACAAGUCAUAUUUCGUAUUCAUGUAUUUCCAUUAAGUGUAAUUUUAUAUUUACGUUAAUACCGGAAAGAUUCUCUCAUUAAAACCUUUA
Molecule: long non-coding RNA, 5411 nt
Organism: Helianthus annuus (common sunflower)
Lineage: Eukaryota; Viridiplantae; Streptophyta; Magnoliopsida; Asterales; Asteraceae
Exons: 7
Source: RefSeq, a predicted model, not a curated record